GGUUGUGGCUCAGUGGUAGAGCACUUACCUCACACCAGUGAGGCACUGGGUUCAAUCCUCAGCACCUCA
This 69-nucleotide transfer RNA is filed under the name Marmota monax (woodchuck). RNAcentral's name for it is "tRNA.Val". Lineage: Eukaryota; Metazoa; Chordata; Mammalia; Rodentia; Sciuridae. The record is from RNAcentral.